CCUCGAGAAAUACUUACUCUGAACCCUUGUAAGAAUAUCAAGUAUCUUUCUAAAGGAUGGGAGAUCUUAGUAGAUCUAUAAGGUGGAGGAAGUACUACAUAUACUAGCUUAUCUUAAAUAGGUUGUAUAGGUCCUGUGACUCGUUAUUCUUUAGAGAUUCUCUCUUUGAGUUCAUCCUCCCAUUGUUUUUAAGAAAAUAGUA
RNAcentral lists this long non-coding RNA (202 nucleotides) under Elaeis guineensis (African oil palm). RNAcentral describes it as "long non-coding RNA (EGUI_LNC081146)". Lineage: Eukaryota; Viridiplantae; Streptophyta; Magnoliopsida; Arecales; Arecaceae. The record is from RNAcentral.